Non-coding RNA from Mesorhizobium metallidurans STM 2683, 82 nucleotides. The record is from Rfam. Lineage: Bacteria; Pseudomonadati; Pseudomonadota; Alphaproteobacteria; Hyphomicrobiales; Phyllobacteriaceae.
GCGGAUGUGGCGGAAUUGGUAGACGCCCUGGAUUUAGGUUCCAGUGCCGAAAGGCGUGGGGGUUCGAGUCCCUUCAUCCGCA